Molecule: non-coding RNA, 188 nt
Filed under: Lonsdalea quercina
Lineage: Bacteria; Pseudomonadati; Pseudomonadota; Gammaproteobacteria; Enterobacterales; Pectobacteriaceae
Description: GcvB RNA
Rfam family: GcvB RNA
About the family: The gcvB gene encodes a small untranslated RNA involved in expression of the dipeptide and oligopeptide transport systems in Escherichia coli. Included several unknown homologues in alignment (Bateman A pers obs).
Source: Rfam by way of RNAcentral
ACUUCCUGAGUCGGAACGAAAAGUGCGGAGGGAUGACCGAAGUACUUUUGACUUGUGGAUGUGAUGUUGUGUUUGCUAUUUACCGUCUGGAUUUCAGACAAGGUAGCUCUGCUACCUUUUCAUUUCCUGUUUUCCCUGUCUAUUCACAAGAUUGUGUAGGGCACCGCAAGAUUGCGGUGCUUUUUUUU